AAGCAAAACAAAGACCAUAUAUGUGCAAAUCUGGUUACUUGCUCGCUCUCUCCCUCUCUGUGUAUUAUAUAAGCAACUCCCUAGAUCGCGAGCCGCAUCUCUUUUCUUCUCCCCGUCGAAUUAAGAGAAAGCUAGUGUGCAAUGAGCCGAAUGGGCAGCAGCAACGGCGGCAGCAAGGUGGCGAGCUGGCUGUGGCGCGCGCCGCGGCGGGCACUNACGCUGUCUCCGCCGGCCGGGCCAGUGGGCAGAGAGGGAGGGCGGCGCCUAUACCCAUGGCUUGAUCGAUUGUUGCACUGGGACUGGGAAGCUUCAACCUCGAGUCCAGCCUUCCUCUGCUUUUCACCUUCGAGUCUCCAUAAAUCUGCAGUGGUGCUGUAAAUAGACUAGAUCUCUUGUUCUGUUAAUCCUUCUCCCGUCAUUCUGUUUUGUCUGAAAAUUAUUCCGGCGCAUUCGCUUGUAAUCUCUUCCGCAUAGCAGUCGCAUGAUAUGCGAUGUCCCUUUUCUUUUCUUUUUAUUCGGAGAAACAAAGAGUUUAUCCUCUGCUAGAUAAACGGCCGUGCCUUCCAACCUGAGAAAAAAAUAUUCAUAAAUUUUAAUUGUCAUGACCAUAUUUUUUGGGGCUGCUACC
RNAcentral lists this long non-coding RNA (628 nucleotides) under Hordeum vulgare. RNAcentral's name for it is "long non-coding RNA (HVUL_LNC004402)". Lineage: Eukaryota; Viridiplantae; Streptophyta; Magnoliopsida; Poales; Poaceae. The record is from RNAcentral.